Molecule: ribosomal RNA, 253 nt
Filed under: uncultured bacterium
Lineage: Bacteria
Description: partial 16S ribosomal RNA
Rfam family: Bacterial small subunit ribosomal RNA
Source: RNAcentral
UACGUAGGGGGCAAGCGUUGUCCGGAAUUAUUGGGCGUAAAGAGCGUGUAGGCGGCCAGAUAAGUCCGCUGUGAAAUCUCGAGGCUCAACUUCGAGCUGUCGGUGGAAACUAUCUGGCUAGAGUCCGGAAGAGGAGAAUGGAAUUCCUGGUGUAGCGGUGAAAUGCGCAGAUAUCAGGAGGAACACCGGUGGCGAAGGCGGGUCUCUGGGCCGAUACUGACGCUGAGGAGCGAAAGCAUGGGUAGCGAACAGG